UCCCGUGUGGCUCAGUUGGUAGAGCAUGGUGUUUGCAACGCCAGGGUUGUGAGUUCGAUUCCCACGGGGGGAA
RNAcentral lists this transfer RNA (73 nucleotides) under Salmo salar (Atlantic salmon). It matches the Rfam family "tRNA". From Rfam's summary of the family: Transfer RNA (tRNA) molecules are approximately 80 nucleotides in length. Their secondary structure includes four short double-helical elements and three loops (D, anti-codon, and T loops). Further hydrogen bonds mediate the characteristic L-shaped molecular structure. tRNAs have two regions of fundamental functional importance: the anti-codon, which is responsible for specific mRNA codon recognition, and the 3' end, to which the tRNAs corresponding amino acid is attached (by aminoacyl-tRNA synthetases). tRNAs cope with the degeneracy of the genetic code in two manners: having more than one tRNA (with a specific anti-codon) for a particular amino acid; and 'wobble' base-pairing, i.e. permitting non-standard base-pairing at the 3rd anti-codon position. Lineage: Eukaryota; Metazoa; Chordata; Actinopteri; Salmoniformes; Salmonidae. The record is from Rfam by way of RNAcentral.